This 435-nucleotide long non-coding RNA is filed under the name Rattus norvegicus (Norway rat). RNAcentral describes it as "long non-coding RNA NONRATT013904". The record is from RNAcentral. Lineage: Eukaryota; Metazoa; Chordata; Mammalia; Rodentia; Muridae.
AGCGGCUCCUGCAAAGAACGAAGUCCGUGAGGUUGCACACAGAGCGACAAACCUUUUUUGGUGGGAUCCCCUCGGGCCAGGGGCAGGACAAGGGGGGAGGCAGAAACUGGUCAUUCUCCAAUAUGCGUUCUUUUGUGUUCUGUUAAACCUCAGAUCCUUCCGCACAAAGAAAACAUUCUGAAGAGCCGAUCAGGAUUUCUGUAGGUCAACAGCAAGCACCAUCCCCUUCUUAACCGCAAGCAAGAAAAAUGAAGCACAUUAUCAAUUCGUAUGAACACACCAACAACACAGCAAGAAAUAACUCUGAUUGUCCUGAUGUAGUUGUGCCAGAAGAGAUAUUUUUCACAAUCUCCAUCAUUGGAGUUUUGGAGAACCUGAUCGUCCUCCUGGCCGUGAUCAAAAAUAAAAAUCUCCAGUCCCCCGUGUACUUUUUCA